GACCGCGUAGCUCAGUUGGCAGAGCAUUGGGCUAGUAUUCCAAAGGUCGUAGGUUCGAUUCCCACCGUGCUCA
RNAcentral lists this transfer RNA (73 nucleotides) under Paramuricea clavata. It matches the Rfam family "tRNA". From Rfam's summary of the family: Transfer RNA (tRNA) molecules are approximately 80 nucleotides in length. Their secondary structure includes four short double-helical elements and three loops (D, anti-codon, and T loops). The record is from Rfam by way of RNAcentral. Lineage: Eukaryota; Metazoa; Cnidaria; Anthozoa; Malacalcyonacea; Plexauridae.